AUCAUUAACAAAUCCUGCUGCAGUGCCCUCCCGGGUGCUGUAGUAUAUUAACUCGGUCCAGGUCGCAAGGCUUGGGCUGAUAAAUUAAUGUGUGUAAUGUUGACAAUGUGUGUGUGAUUAAUUAGUAGACAACUUUUAACAAUGGAUCUCUAGGCUCUUGCAGCGAUGAAGAACGCAGUAAAGUGCGAAAAGUGAUGCGAUUUGCACGAAUCUGUGAGUCAUCUAGUUUUUGAACGCAAAUGGCACUCUUGUGUAAGCAGGAGUAUGUCUGUUUGAGAAUCCCAAAACCGACCAACACCUGUGGGGGUUGGCACUGGCGUUCCGUGCAGCAAUGUGCGGUUUGCUUGAAAUUAUUCAGGUUGAUGGGCUCCGGCUGAGCUCCAAAUGUGCUAAAAGACUGUGGUCUUUCGUCAUUUGGCUGCGCAGUUGCA
RNAcentral lists this ribosomal RNA (431 nucleotides) under uncultured fungus. Its description in RNAcentral is "eukaryotic LSU rRNA". The stretch from base 131 to 282 matches the Rfam family "5.8S ribosomal RNA". The record is from RNAcentral. Lineage: Eukaryota; Fungi.